Psammomys obesus (fat sand rat) is the source of this 862-nucleotide long non-coding RNA. RefSeq lists it as uncharacterized. Lineage: Eukaryota; Metazoa; Chordata; Mammalia; Rodentia; Muridae. The transcript has 3 exons. The record is from RefSeq and is a predicted model, not a curated record.
CUUCCUAUGCAUCGUGACUGACAGUGAAGACUGCAACUGAGUGCUUUUCUUUCUCAGCAGGGGCACAGAAAGGCAGGCCUCCUCUCUUCCAUAGAGGCAGUUAUCUCAAUGUGAGAAUCAGUCACUGCUCUCUGGAAGACGGAUGAUUUGAACCACAUUUGAACCCAUGAGUGAAGAAAAGGAACCAGACAGAAGAGAGUGAACAGGACGGAGGGGGACCAGGCAGACAGUGGAGCAAACAGAUGGCAACAAGGAGUCAGGAACAUGCCUUUGCUACAGGAAGGUCAGAGCAUCCCUCAACCCUUGUCAGAGAAGCUGCUCACCAUAGACAGCAAUUAACACAGAGACUCCCAAGCGGUCACUGUGCAGAGAAUCAGAGACAUGGAGCGCUUAGUCCUCAAGGGGACGUGUUUAUCACAUAGCUCCCAUCAGAGAUCAUGGAUCCUUGAGAAAGAGGGAACAGAAAUGUUGUAAGAUGCAGAGGUGGCAGAGAAGAGGAAAGAAACAGUGGUUUCCAGCUCCAACAGGACAGCUGAACACACAAACUCAGUACCUGUGACAGCAUGUACAAGACCUGGUCAACAAAAUCCCAGCAUAGAGCGGGGCAGGUGGGCCAAAAUCCCACAACUGGCUCCAGAGUUAUUUGAUAAGAUGGAUCUAGCAUCAGGAGAGUCAGUUUUCUUUAAUUAUGCGAAUCCAGGUGGGUGCACCACACACAUUCCUGAGACCAGCUGGAAAACAUAAGCUGGCCUUGCCGGUUGUGGGGGAUGGGGAAGAGAAUGAUUCUGGGAUGGGAUGGGAUGGGGGAGAAGUAGACAAAUACGUCAUAUGAAAUUCUCAGAAUUAAAAAUCAUUAAACAGA